CCAACGGGAGGCUGCAGUGGGGAAUAUUGGACAAUGGGCGAAAGCCUGAUCCAGCCAUGCCGCGUGUGUGAAGAAGGCCUUCGGGUUGUAAAGCACUUUCAGUGGGGAAGAAAGCCUUGGGGCUAAUACCCUCGAGGAAGGACAUCACCCACAGAAGAAGCACCGGCUAACUCCGUGCCAGCAGUCGCGGUAAUACGGAGGGUGCGAGCGUUAAUCGGAAUUACUGGGCGUAAAGCGCGCGUAGGCGGUCUGAUAAGCCGGUUGUGAAAGCCCCGGGCUCAACCUGGGAACGGCAUCCGGAACUGUCAGGCUAGAGUGCAGGAGAGGAAGGUAGAAUUCCCGGUGUAGCGGUGAAAUGCGUAGAGAUCGGGAGGAAUACCAGUGGCGAAGGCGGCCUUCUGGACUGACACUGACGCUGAGGUGCGAAAGCGUGGGUAGCAAACAGGAUUAGAUACCCUGUAGUC
RNAcentral lists this ribosomal RNA (464 nucleotides) under Vreelandella stevensii. RNAcentral's name for it is "partial 16S ribosomal RNA". It matches the Rfam family "Bacterial small subunit ribosomal RNA", at positions 338 to 795 of the family's 1533-position model. Lineage: Bacteria; Pseudomonadati; Pseudomonadota; Gammaproteobacteria; Oceanospirillales; Halomonadaceae. The record is from RNAcentral.